RNAcentral lists this long non-coding RNA (1130 nucleotides) under Numida meleagris (helmeted guineafowl). RNAcentral's name for it is "lncRNA (ENSNMEG00000001809.1)". Lineage: Eukaryota; Metazoa; Chordata; Aves; Galliformes; Numididae. The record is from RNAcentral.
GUGCCCAGUGCGUGCAGAUCAUGAAGAUGGGAUUUCAUAAGGUCUUCCGCACAAGUGGAAUGUAAGUUCAUUUGGAAAAGGGUCAAUCUCAUAAGACUUGGAGAUGCAGGAGGCUGAUACCGUCAAGCCAAAAUGAAAGCAGCAGAAUGGAACUGGCUUGCCAGGGCUCUGAUCAGGAGGAUGUCUCAUCACAGAGACAAAAAUCCCCAUUGUAUUGUUUUUUUUUGUAGGGCUGCAGACUGCGUAACCACACCAAGCCACAUGAAGCAGAAGUGUUUUUUUGGAGGAGUGCCUAUGGUUGCAGAGAUGGAGAAGUCUCAAAUUAGAUGUUGGGCCAGACACUAAAACGCUGUCUACUAUCUGUCUAUCUAGUCUUAUUAGUCAGGCACAAUGAUGUGUUAUUAAGCUACAAAGAGGUGUUUGAUAUGGUAACACAGUUGCACAGCCCCUGGUAAACCAGACCAAGAUUGUUGGCAGGGCUCAAAUCCUUCUGCUGGCAUUUUACUGUACUUUCUCAAUAUGUAUCAAGAGAGGGAUUUUACACUCUCUGAGCUUCAUAACUACGCAUCUGACUGAUGAGAUUUAUGAACCAAAGAGAUCACACUGAGUAAGCUCCUAGGCCAGUGUACUUGUUAAUAUUACAGGACAAUUUGUUUAAAAAAAAAAUAAUCAAUUUGAAAGUUCCAUGUUUUCAAUAUAAGACAGAGAAGAUAAUAAUUUCUUAAAUCAGUUGAAAAUUAACUUGAAAGUUCUUGAGCAUUGUCUGAAGGGAAGAAUAAUGAAUAUUACCAAAUGAUGUAUUCAGAACAUUAUUCCUUAGCUAUUGAAACAAACUGCCUUUUUUUCCCUAACAAUUUUGAAGCUAUAUGUGUAUUAGUCUGUAUGCAGUAUCACAUUAUUGUAGCUAUGGUUAAACUUAAUAAGACUCAAAUUAACAUUUUUAGGAAGGAAGAAUAUUCCAUCAAAUUUUAAGGAAGAAGAAAGUAAGGUUGAAAGCAUAACUCCCCGAAUUUGAUCUUAUUUUGACUACAAUAUUUUUCUAUUUGUGUAGUACUUACAAUUUUUUAAGCAGUAAAUAGGAAUGUGAAUAUGGAGAAGUAAUUUUUUGUCCCUGGCUAUUACGAAUAAAA